This 691-nucleotide ribosomal RNA is filed under the name Pleurotus pulmonarius. RNAcentral's name for it is "eukaryotic LSU rRNA". The stretch from base 218 to 371 matches the Rfam family "5.8S ribosomal RNA". Lineage: Eukaryota; Fungi; Basidiomycota; Agaricomycetes; Agaricales; Pleurotaceae. The record is from RNAcentral.
GUGUUGCUGGCCUCUAGGGGCAUGUGCACGCUUCACUAGGUCUUUCAACCACCUGUGAACUUUUGAUAGAUCUGUGAAGUCGUCCUUCAAGUCGUCAGACUUGGUUUGCUGGGAUUUAAACGUCUCGGUGUGACAACGCAGUCUAUUUACUUAACACACCCCAAAUGUAUGUCUACGAAUGUCAUUUAAUGGGCCUUGUGCCUAUAAACCAUAAUACAACUUUCAACAACGGAUCUCUUGGCUCUCGCAUCGAUGAAGAACGCAGCGAAAUGCGAUAAGUAAUGUGAAUUGCAGAAUUCAGUGAAUCAUCGAAUCUUUGAACGCACCUUGCGCCCCUUGGUAUUCCGAGGGGCAUGCCUGUUUGAGUGUCAUUAAAUUCUCAAACUCACAUUUAUUUGUGAUGUUUGGAUUGUUGGGGGUUGCUGGCUGUAACAAGUCGGCUCCUCUUAAAUGCAUUAGCAGGACUUCUCAUUGCCUCUGCGCAUGAUGUGAUAAUUAUCACUCAUCAAUAGCACGCAUGAAUAGAGUCCAGCUCUCUAAUCGUCCGCAAGGACAUUUUGACAAUUUGACCUCAAAUCAGGUAGGACUACCCGCUGAACUUAAGCAUAUCAAUAAGCGGAGGAAAAGAAACUAACAAGGAUUCCCCUAGUAACUGCGAGUGAAGCGGGAAAAGCUCAAAUUUAAAAUCUGG